UUCCGUUUGACUUCCAAGGUAUGACUGGUUCUGGAAGUGGCUUUUACUUCACGUGAAAACUCAAACAUACAGUAAUGUGGAAAUUAACAGCUGAGGAAAUAAGAUAAACGCCUGUGUGGAUACAGCUUAGGAGACGCAGAAUUAUGCAAGGGAACAGAAGUUAUUAUAUUUGCACAACAUGCAUAGGUUGUACAAAUUGGCCUUCCUUGGUCUGGAGUUUUUAUUUGUGGGUGGAGCAAAAUGCACACAACCUUGGGCUUAGAAGCAGAGGCUGUUUGGAAAUGCAGCAAAACUGCCCCAUAGUUUGGUGUCCAUUGGCUUCCAGAGAAGGCAGGCUUAAUCAAGAAGCAUCUCUGGCAACUGCCCAACGUAUAGGCAGAACUGGUGGAAAUACUGCAAAUAUACGUUUCUGCACAGUGCCUGUGUAUCUAGUUGCAGUUUAGCACCUUCUUGCAACAGGAGGCAAACCCCUCUGGACUCCUGGAUCUGCAAGCAGGAGGAAAGAUUUGAGAAUCUGGC
This is a long non-coding RNA of Lacerta agilis (Sand lizard), 519 nucleotides long. RefSeq lists it as uncharacterized. The record is from RefSeq and is a predicted model, not a curated record. Lineage: Eukaryota; Metazoa; Chordata; Lepidosauria; Squamata; Lacertidae. The transcript has 3 exons.